UACGUAGGGGGCAAGCGUUGUCCGGAUUUAUUGGGCGUAAAGGGCGCGUAAGCGGUUUCUUAAGUUUGAAGUGACAGUGGGUGGCUUAACUACCCAAGGCCUUUGAAAACUGGGGAACUUGAGGACCAGAGAGGGACAUAGAAUUCCGGGUGGAGUGGUGAAAUGCGUAGAUAUCCGGAGGAAUACCAAAGGCGAAGGCAGUGUCCUGGAGGGUUAACUGACGCUGAGGCGCGAAAGCUAGGGGAGCGAACAGG
Molecule: ribosomal RNA, 254 nt
Filed under: uncultured bacterium
Lineage: Bacteria
Description: partial 16S ribosomal RNA
Rfam family: Bacterial small subunit ribosomal RNA
Source: RNAcentral